UACGUAGGGGGCAAGCGUUAUCCGGAAUUACUGGGCGUAAAGCGCACGUAGGCGGCUUUGUAAGUUAGAGGUGAAAGCCUGGAGCUCAACUCCAGAAUUGCCUUUAAGACUGCAUCGCUUGAAUCCAGGAGAGGUGAGUGGAAUUCCGAGUGUAGAGGUGAAAUUCGUAGAUAUUCGGAAGAACACCAGUGGCGAAGGCGGCUCACUGGACUGGUAUUGACGCUGAGGUGCGAAAGCGUGGGGAGCAAACAGG
Molecule: ribosomal RNA, 253 nt
Filed under: uncultured bacterium
Lineage: Bacteria
Description: partial 16S ribosomal RNA
Rfam family: Bacterial small subunit ribosomal RNA
Source: RNAcentral